RNAcentral lists this ribosomal RNA (253 nucleotides) under uncultured bacterium. RNAcentral's name for it is "partial 16S ribosomal RNA". It matches the Rfam family "Bacterial small subunit ribosomal RNA", at positions 524 to 776 of the family's 1533-position model. RNAcentral also lists the same sequence under 1 other name. The record is from RNAcentral.
UACGGGGGGGGCAAGCGUUGUUCGGAAUUACUGGGCGUAAAGGGCUCGUAGGCGGCCAACUCAGUCGGACGUGAAAUCCCUCGGCUUAACCGGGGAACUGCGUCCGAUACUGGAUGGCUCGAGUGUGGGAGAGGGAUGCGGAAUUCCAGGUGUAGCGGUGAAAUGCGUAGAUAUCUGGAGGAACACCGGUGGCGAAGGCGGCAUCCUGGACCACGACUGACGCUGAGGAGCGAAAGCCAGGGGAGCAAACGGG